This is a long non-coding RNA of Papaver somniferum (opium poppy), 1777 nucleotides long. RefSeq lists it as uncharacterized. The record is from RefSeq and is a predicted model, not a curated record. NCBI's taxonomy places the organism in Eukaryota, Viridiplantae, Streptophyta, Magnoliopsida, Ranunculales, Papaveraceae. The transcript is spliced from 4 exons.
UCCAUCUCUACGAGUCUGUUCUUUUUUCUAUUACAUACAAAGUAUUGCCAUUCUUCAUUGUUGCAUCAGUAUGAUGAUUUUUUGAUUGACUGGUUGAUGUCUACAACAUCUAAAUUCUAACAGAGUUUUUUACCCAGUCUUUGUAAAUCUACUCUUCUGAUUCGUUAAAAAAAUAAAGAUUGAGGAAUUUAGUGAUGUAAGUAGGGGUUUCAUAAUCCAAUCGCAAACUAGGUGUUUAUGAAAAUCACUUACGUUUGAUUGUUAUUUGCCAAUAUUUGUUGAAAUUCAAUAAUGUGAAAACAAGGUGUUUGAAGAAAUGCCAAGCCUAACAAAUAAUGUAGUACACAUUUAGUUAUUUGGCAAUUAAAUAUAGGAAGGUUUGGUCCCAUUUCCUCCAUUGACUCUGAUAAUUUCCAUUCAAAAAACUCUCUUCAUCUUCCUCUAGUUCUCUAUUCUUCUAGAUUUUUCUGUUUUAAACCAUGAAGUCAAUAUUGAGAAUCUUUUGUCUUUGAGUUGCAGAGUGUAGUUGAGCUUGUUCUAUCUACGGCUAAUCCACCAUUCAUCAUCAACUUCAUGACUUGAAUUAAGAAGUUGCCAUGGCGAAUUGCAUCUUAAACUGCCAGUGGUCAACAAUUAUAGAGUGAACUGAUCAGGGUGAAAACUAGAUGAGCCAUUCCUGGUUAUGGGUGUGUUUUAAUUCCACAUUGCAAAGAGAUUUUCUUGUAACUAAAGGUACAACAGGGAAAUGAGCUAUACCUAGGUACUAUAAAUUAUGACAGGUACUAUAAAAUAAAUUGGGUAACUGGAUAACACGGUCUUAUAAAUUUAAAUGAGUACGUUAUUUUUGAAGGUACUAUAAAUUAUGACGGGUAACUCGGCUUGAUGGCAGUAUAAAUUUGAACUAGGUGCCCGUAUCAGUCUGAAGAAUAAUUUUUUUCGGGUACAUUGUUGUAAGUUCCAAUGGAAUUGGUUUGUGCUUCAUGUAUAUUUGUGCAACACGAUUGAUGGAUGAGUAAUAAACUAUAAUACAUAAAGUUCUAGACAGAGAUCCAGAAGUCGUUUCAAUCAAAGACAAGAAGGGCACUGCACUUCAUAUGGCUGUAAAAGGUCAGGAUCCGUCUAUAGUAGAAGAAUUAUUGAUUGUCGAUCUCUCUAUAUUGAAUGCACGUGAUAAGGGAAAUACUGUUGUUCAUAUGGCUAUUAGGAAAUGUCGACCACAGAUGGUGUGCCUUCUACUUAGUUAUUAUCUGUUGAUGUCAAUGCCAUCAAUAAUCAAAAGGAAACUGCAAUGGAUUUAGCAGAAAAACUUCAACAUGGAGAAUCUGCAUUUGAAAUCAAGGAAGCUCUAACAGAAGCUGGUGUCAAGCAUGCAAGAAAUGUUGUUGUUCUCUUUGCUUCCAUUGCUUUCAUGGCUAUAUUCAAUUUUCCAGGACAAUAUUUUCAGGUUGGGCCAGACGCUAGAAGCCAACAUUGCAGAUAAUUUGGGGUUCAGGUUAUUCUAUCUUUUGAAUGCUACUUCACUCACUGACAGUUGUGGUGGUCCAAAUCACUUUGGUCGCAUGGGAUACUAGGGAUCAAAAACAAGUUGUUUCAGUUGUUAACAAACUAAUAUGCGCAGCUUGUGUAAGUACCUGUGGUGUAUUCAUCUCACCAUCUUUUGUUGUUGUGGGAAGGGGAGGAUCAUGGAUGGCAAUUAUUAUAACUGUAGUUGGAGUUCCCAUCCUUGUUGGAACUCUCAACCUAUUUAACCUAAACUAACCCGGAGUAGUUACACUAA